CGAGUGGCGCACGGGUGCGUAACACGUAUGCAACCUACCCUUAACUGGGGAAUAACCCUGUGAAAGCGGGGCUAAUACCCCAUAACAUUAUGGUAAGGCAUCUUACUAUUAUCGAAGAUUUGUCGGUUAGGGAUGGGCAUGCGCCCUAUAGUGUGUUAGGUUAGGUAACGGCUAACCAAGACUGUGAUGGGUAGGGGUUCUGAGAGGAUUAUCCCCCACACUGGUACUGAGACACGGACCAGACUCCUACGGGAGGCAGCAGUAAGGAAUAUUGGGCAAUGGACGCAAGUCUGACCCAUCCAUGCCGCGUGCAGGAUGACGGCCUUAUGGGUUGUAAACUGCUUUUGUAUGGGAUUAAAGUGUUGUACGUGUACGACAUUGCAAGUACCAUACGAAUAAGCAUCGGCUAACUCCGUGCCAGCAGCCGCGGUAAUACGGAGGAUGCAAGCGUUAUCCGGAAUCAUUGGGUUUAAAGGGUGCGUAGGUUGAUUAUUAAGUCAGUGGUGAAAAUUCCGGGCUCAACCCGGGACUUGCCGUUGAAACUGAUAAUCUUGAGUGUAACUGAUGUGGGCGGAAUUGUGUCAAGUAGCGGUGAAAUGCCAUAGAUAUGACACAGAACACCGAUAGCGAAGGCAGCUCACAAAAUUACAACUGACACUGAGGCACGAAAGCGUGGGUAUCAAACAGGAUUAGAUACCCUGGUAGUCCACGCUGUAAACGAUGAUCACUAGCUGUUUGCGAUACAUUGUAAGUGGUUUAAGCGAAAGCGAUAAGUGAUCCACCUGGGGAGUACGUCGGCAACGAUGAAACUCAAAGGAAUUGACGGGGGCCCGCACAAGCGGAGGAGCAUGUGGUUUAAUUCGAUGAUACGCGAGGAACCUUACCUGGGCUUGAACGUAUGGUGCAUGAGUGUGAAAGCACUCUUUCCUUCACAGGACUUCAUACGAGGUGCUGCAUGGUUGUCGUCAGCUCGUGCCGUGAGGUGUUAGGUUAAGUCCUGCAACGAGCGCAACCCCUGUUUUUAGUUGCCAGCAGGUUAUGCUGGNCACUCUAGAAAGACUGCCUGCGCAAGCAGAGAGGAAGGUGGGGAUGACGUCAAAUCAGCAC
RNAcentral lists this ribosomal RNA (1107 nucleotides) under uncultured organism. RNAcentral describes it as "bacterial SSU rRNA". It matches the Rfam family "Bacterial small subunit ribosomal RNA", at positions 92 to 1196 of the family's 1533-position model. The record is from RNAcentral.